GGCCAUUGGGGGAGAAAUGACUCGGUAACCGAUGAAUCCUGAGGAAAGGGAAGAGCCCAAGAAUUUGCAGAACCUCCAAGAGAAAGUGUGAAGAAAGGUACACAAAGCAAAAAAAAAGAAAAAGCUAUGACGACAUUUAUAAAAUAAAAAGAGGACCUGAAACACUUGACACAACACCUUAUUCCUCAACCUCUUAUUCUUCUCCUCCCUCCUUAUCAAAAAGCUCUCUCACGCACCGCCUCUAUGCUGCUCUUAUCGGCCAUA
This 264-nucleotide long non-coding RNA is filed under the name Brassica napus (rape). Its description in RNAcentral is "long non-coding RNA (BNAP_LNC000304)". Lineage: Eukaryota; Viridiplantae; Streptophyta; Magnoliopsida; Brassicales; Brassicaceae. The record is from RNAcentral.